GUAUAAGCACUCUUUUACUGUGAAACUGCGAAUGGCUCAUUAAAUCAGUUAUCGUUUAUUUGAUAGUACCCUACUACAUGGAUACCUGUGGUAAUUCUAGAGCUAAUACAUGCGCAAAACCCCGACUUCGGAAGGGGUGUAUUUAUUAGAUAAAAAACCAAUGCCCUUCGGGGCUCCUUGGUGAUUCAUAAUAACUUCACGAAUCGCAUGGCCUUGCGCCGGCGAUGGUUCAUUCAAAUUUCUGCCCUAUCAACUUUCGAUGGUAGGAUAGUGGCCUACCAUGGUGGCAACGGGUAACGGGGAAUUAGGGUUCGAUUCCGGAGAGGGAGCCUGAGAAACGGCUACCACAUCCAAGGAAGGCAGCAGGCGCGCAAAUUACCCAAUCCCGAUACGGGGAGGUAGUGACAAUAAAUACUGAUACAGGGCUCUUUUGGGUCUUGUAAUUGGAAUGAGAACAAUCUAAAUCCCUUAACGAGGAACAAUUGGAGGGCAAGUCUGGUGCCAGCAGCCGCGGUAAUUCCAGCUCCAAUAGCGUAUAUUAAAGUUGUUGCAGUUAAAAAGCUCGUAGUUGAACCUUGGGCCCGUCCUGCCGGUCCGCCUCACCGCGAGUACUGGUCCGGAUGGGCCUUUCUUUCUGGGGAAUCCCAUGGCCUUCACUGGCUGUGGCGGGGAACCAGGACUUUUACUGUGAAAAAAUUAGAGUGUUCAAAGCAGGCCUUUGCUCGGAUACAUUAGCAUGGAAUAAUAGAAUAGGACGUGCGGUUCUAUUUUGUUGGUUUCUAGGACCGCCGUAAUGAUUAAUAGGGAUAGUCGGGGGCGUCAGUAUUCAGCUGUCAGAGGUGAAAUUCUUGGAUUUGCUGAAGACUAACUACUGCGAAAGCAUUCGCCAAGGAUGUUUUCAUUAAUCAGGGAACGAAAGUUAGGGGAUCGAAGACGAUCAGAUACCGUCGUAGUCUUAACCAUAAACUAUGCCGACUAGGGAUCGGGCGGGGUUUCUAUGAUGACCCGCUCGGCACCUUACGAGAAAUCAAAGUUUUUGGGUCUGGGGGAGU
This 1052-nucleotide ribosomal RNA is filed under the name Talaromyces sp. RNAcentral describes it as "SSU rRNA". It matches the Rfam family "Eukaryotic small subunit ribosomal RNA", at positions 63 to 1124 of the family's 1831-position model. Lineage: Eukaryota; Fungi; Ascomycota; Eurotiomycetes; Eurotiales; Trichocomaceae. The record is from RNAcentral.